This 428-nucleotide ribosomal RNA is filed under the name Amphidromus atricallosus. Its description in RNAcentral is "partial large subunit ribosomal RNA". It matches the Rfam family "Archaeal large subunit ribosomal RNA", at positions 1900 to 2681 of the family's 2987-position model. The record is from RNAcentral. Lineage: Eukaryota; Metazoa; Mollusca; Gastropoda; Stylommatophora; Camaenidae.
CAAAAACAUAACUGCAUGAACACCCAUGCAGCAUUUUCUGCUCAAUGAAUAUUAAAUGGCCGCAGUACUCUGACUGUGCAAAGGUAGCAUAAUCAGUUGGCUUAUAAUUAAAGUCUGGAAUCAACGAAUGCACGGAGGGUUGCUAUAUCCUAAUAAAGUACUAAAAUUAUUUAGUAAGUGAAAAUGCUUACAUUGAAAUAAAAGACGAGAAGACCCUAGAAAUUUAGAUUGAAUUUUGUUGGGGCGACAUAGUAGCAUUAAAACCUACAGUAAGUACAGGAAUUUUAUUAAGUGAAAGAUUAAUUACUCUAGGGAUAACAGCAUAAUUUAGAAAAGUUUGUGACCUCGAUGUUGGACUAGGAAAUUUAAGUUUAGACGACAUAGAAUAUUGCUCUGUUCGAGCAUAACCUCCUACGUGAUCUGAGUUC